GAGUUUGAUCAUGGCUCAGGAUGAACGCUAGCGGCAGGCUUAACACAUGCAAGUCGAGGGGUAUAGUUCUUCGGAAUUAGAGACCGGCGCACGGGUGCGUAACGCGUAUGCAAUCUACCUUUCACAGAGGGAUAGCCCAGAGAAAUUUGGAUUAAUACCUCAUAGUAUAACGACUCUGCAUGGAGAUGUUAUUAAAGUCACAACGGUGAAAGAUGAGCAUGCGUCCCAUUAGCUAGUUGGUAAGGUAACGGCUUACCAAGGCUACGAUGGGUAGGGGUCCUGAGAGGGAGAUCCCCCACACUGGUACUGAGACACGGACCAGACUCCUACGGGAGGCAGCAGUGAGGAAUAUUGGACAAUGGGCGCAAGCCUGAUCCAGCCAUGCCGCGUGCAGGAUGACGGUCCUAUGGAUUGUAAACUGCUUUUGCACAGGAAGAAACAACUCUACGUGUAGAGUCUUGACGGUACUGUGAGAAUAAGGAUCGGCUAACUCCGUGCCAGCAGCCGCGGUAAUACGGAGGAUCCAAGCGUUAUCCGGAAUCAUUGGGUUUAAAGGGUCCGUAGGC
RNAcentral lists this ribosomal RNA (566 nucleotides) under uncultured bacterium. Its description in RNAcentral is "bacterial SSU rRNA". It matches the Rfam family "Bacterial small subunit ribosomal RNA", at positions 9 to 576 of the family's 1533-position model. The record is from RNAcentral.